GACGAACCGUGCGAACGUUGUUCGGAAUCACUGGGCUUAAAGGGCGCGUAGGCGGGCAAGCAAGUCCGGGGUGAAAGCCCCCAGCUCAACUGGGGAAGUGCCUUGGAAACUGCUUGUCUUGAGGGAGGUAGGGGCCUGUGGAACUUCGGGUGGAGCGGUGAAAUGCGUUGAUAUCCGAAGGAACGCCGGUGGCGAAAGCGACGGGCUGGACCUCUUCUGAUGCUGAGGCGCGAAAGCCAGGGGAGCAAACGGG
RNAcentral lists this ribosomal RNA (253 nucleotides) under uncultured bacterium. RNAcentral describes it as "partial 16S ribosomal RNA". It matches the Rfam family "Bacterial small subunit ribosomal RNA", at positions 524 to 776 of the family's 1533-position model. The record is from RNAcentral.